GGUCUGAGAUCAGGAAGGGUAAUUGUUAAUUCCUCCCCAACAUAGACAGAUUUAAAUUUUCCACUUUUACCACUGUUGGAUAUUGCUACUUCAAAUGUAAAUGCUGCUGGACUAUGACUAUGGCUCUCUCCAUUCUGUGAACUAACUGGGAGAUUCCAGGACAGAACGGCUGAUCUUGCUUGUAUAUCAGAAACUACCGGCUUGCCAAUGCUCAGGUGAGUAUCACACUUCUUGGAUUCCGUGUCAGAUUCUCCCAUUUCUGCAUCUGGACUGCCCUUUGUUUUUCCUAUCUGCUUCUGCUUUAGCGGCCCUCCUGUCCCUUGCUGUCCCUUUCCAUUUCCGUUCUGAACUGCUGCACUGGAAGAAUUAUUAACUUUAUGUGGUGAAGAUGGAGGACUGUUGAGCUUAUUGUUAGUGUGACCGCUCG
This 427-nucleotide long non-coding RNA is filed under the name Gallus gallus (chicken). The record is from RNAcentral. Lineage: Eukaryota; Metazoa; Chordata; Aves; Galliformes; Phasianidae.